Molecule: ribosomal RNA, 253 nt
Filed under: uncultured bacterium
Lineage: Bacteria
Description: partial 16S ribosomal RNA
Rfam family: Bacterial small subunit ribosomal RNA
Source: RNAcentral
UACGGGGGGGGUAAGCGUUGUUCGGAAUUACUGGGCGUAAAGGGCUCGUAGGCGGCCAACUAAGUCAGACGUGAAAUCCCCAGGCUCAACCUGGGAACUGCGUCUGAUACUGGAUGGCUUGAAUUCGGGAGAGGGAUGCAGAAUUCCAGGUGUAGCGGUGAAAUGCGUAGAUAUCUGGAGGAAUACCGGUGGCGAAGGCGGCAUCCUGGACCGACAUUGACGCUGAUGAGCGAAAGCUAGGGGAGCAAACGGG